RNAcentral lists this unclassified non-coding RNA (314 nucleotides) under plant metagenome. RNAcentral describes it as "partial contains 5.8S ribosomal RNA, internal transcribed spacer 2, and large subunit ribosomal RNA". The stretch from base 1 to 105 matches the Rfam family "5.8S ribosomal RNA", at positions 50 to 154 of the family's 154-position model. The record is from RNAcentral.
GAAAUGCGAUAAUUAAUGUGAAUUGCAGAAUUCAGUGAAUCAUCGAGUCUUUGAACGCACAUUGCGCCCCCUGGUAUUCCGGGGGGCAUGCCUGUCCGAGCGUCAUUGCUGCCCUCAAGCACGGCUUGUGUGUUGGGCUUCCGUCCCUGGCAACGGGGACGGGCCCAAAAGGCAGUGGCGGCACCAUGUCUGGUCCUCGAGCGUAUGGGGCUUUGUCACCCGCUCCCGUAGGUCCAGCUGGCAGCUAGCCUCGCAACCAAUCUUCUUAACCAGGUUGACCUCGGAUCAGGUAGGGAUACCCGCUGAACUUAAGC